AUAAGGGCGGCGGGCGGGGGGGGGCGCUCAGGCGAGGCUGCGCGGCGCUGCGUGGGCCGCCAUGGUGGGCACCGGGAGGGACGGGGCCUGCGCCCGCAGUGCUAUGCUGACGGGGACGGGGCCGCCUCGCUGCGAGCUCCCCGCUGGAGGAGGGCGCUCGGAGGGCCCCGGGGGCCCUGAGCCGUGUGUGAAAGGGGAAGGAGGGGGGCGGAGGGCCGCCGCCCGGAGUGCCUUGUUGUGUGUACUUCACCUAAUCCAAUGGCAAAAUCCAAGCAGUAAGAAUCUGGAUCUUCUCUGUGUAAAAUGCUUGUAGCCUUGCAAAGGUUGGUCUGUGCAUGGUCCCGCUUAAUCCAAGCACCUGGAAGCCUCUGCGGAAUCAGGACCUGGUGUGUUAUCAUGGCAUGAAAUGUAAACAAAGGGUUGUAAUUAAAAGCACAUUAGGCAGAAGGUUGUUUGAAGCAGACGUGAAGAUAUAAUGGAACCUUAAGAAGUGAAUGCUCUAUUAAAAAAAAAAAAUCUUAAAAUGUUUAUGCUUUCAGGUAAAAAACAGUGAAAUUUUGCUUUUAAGUUCAGAUCAGGUCAGAAAUUGAGCCUCAGUGUGUGUAUGUGUAAGUACAUAUAAAAAUAAAUCUUGUAAUCGUUAAGGAUUUCUUUGACUUAUUAUUUCGUUGCCUUCAAGAAUGGUGGAAGAAACUGAAGAAUUAUUUUCCAUGCAUCAGAAAAGUAAUUCUUACUACUGUCUCUUAAAGGGAGGGGAAAUAAUAAAGGUAAGCACUUGUGAAGAGAACCUUAUAGGAAAAGAGAUCAGUUGUCACUCUACUUGGGGUCAGUUUCUGUCAUAACAAUUACCAGGCUAGUAUAUAAGCUUCCAUUAGAAUGUACAUGUAAAAUACAUUUUCAGGUAACAGCAGUGUAAAACUGCUUUAACUUUCAAGCAGAAAGGGUGAUCCAUAGUAACGAACUGCCUAAUUUAUAGUGACACAGUUGAGGGAUUUCAUAUCACUUGAAAACCUACAGUCUUAUAUAGCCUAUUAAUGAGCUAAUUAUGCAAACUAUAUUUAUUAGUAGCAUAUAUAAAAGAUAAUAAGUAAUUAUAUGAAUACAGAAGUUUACUUGUAUUUCUGUUAAAGUUUUCUGGUUGUGUUGUCUUCACCAAGAUCCACCAAAUGAAUCCUUAGUGACUCCAACUUACCUGCAGUUGUGCAAUAUAGUAUAACCUGAUUUUCUAGUACCCUGUCCAAAUUUUUGAAAACAUGCUCAUCAUCCAUCUUGACCCUUGAACUAGCUCUUACCUAAAGCAUAAAAUAAUCUUUCAUUCUGAUAUUAAAAUGAAACUUUGAAACCUUGAACCAGAGUGGACUCUUUUGACUAAAGUCACUUCAAAUCUUGAACUACUUUGAAACCCAAUGAUUUCUUGGUAUAAAAACACUUCUAGUAAUUGUCUUAUGUGGUAAUCUGUUAAAAGAUGUAAUGGUGGGAGUCUAGCAAAAUAUAGUGUAAAUGGAGAGAAAUAUUGUGACUACAUGUAAGCAGCUCCAAUAUGUAUUCCUACUGAUUUAGCAAAGAGGGAUUGAGGGCGAUCUCUAGAAAACUACGCAAAAGUUUGAAAAAUGGUCUGAGUUGAUGUGGUAAUAACCUCAUAUGCUGAGUAAGACAACCUGUGUAAAGCUACUAAAAAUGGCGCAAAAAGUGAUAUUGCGGGCGCUUUCACUUGUCUUACAAGGCACGUAGUAUCAAAACAGCUGCACUAAUCUACACAUUAGCCUGAAAAGUCUUCAGAAGAGUUUUUACUAGUAUUCCUCUCUUUUCCUCAUAACAAAACUAUUCUGUCUGUGAUGGCUGGGAGUUGAUUAUCCUAAUUUCAGUUUUGUAAGUCCUUAAAUUCUUACACAUAGUCAUCCCAACCAUUUGUUACUGCCGUGUAGUGUCUGAGAGGAGAAACCCUUCUGUGAUGCAAAUGGCACUGAAGUCCAAACUAAUAUUAAGGCUAUGUUGUACUGACUACUGUGGAGAUGAUUUAAGCCAUCCUCUAUGAUAUGCUAAUAAAAGCUUUUCUGAAUGUGGGUGCAAUUCAUAGUGGCAAGUUAAUGUUGCCUUUGUCAACAUAGCUUUUCUUUAUUUAAAUUGGAAAGAGAGCGAACAGAACAUGGUACUAAACCAUAAUGUGAUUUAUAUUAUAGAUAAUUAUGCAAAAAAAAAAAAAAUGCUUGUCAGACAGGUUCGUUGCCACCAACCACCUUUUGGUGACCUGUGAACAACAAGGCACAAGACCUGGUAAGGAGUUUACUUGGGCCACUUUCAGCAUAAGCAGUUUGGGCAGAGCUGUUGUGUGCCAGUUCAUUUCAAAUGUGGAUGUGUUGAAGCAUUAAAGAUACUUAGUUCUCUGUAUGUACAUGAAGGGUUGGCUGCUGCUUUGAAGAAAUCAACUUCCUUUCUGAAUGCAGAAAGGGAUGCCAUGGAGCGCUUAGUGAUGACAGUAACAUGUUAAUUAUGUGUUAACAUUGAGUAGUUAGAACUGCUUAGCUAAUGAGGCUACUUCAUAGAGAGAAGUAGUGCAGGCUACUGAAGGAAAUGCUGAUAAUGAGUUUCCUAUUUAUUUGUGAGGGUAACCUGCAGAGACAGGUGAGCAACUCUGGUUCAGAUGACUUCUGAAGUGAAGAUUGUUAUGAACAACUUGAAGAUCUGUUCAAGUAAAGGGAUAGUACAGCUAAGCAUUUCCUUUCCAAAAUCUCAGAAUGAAGAAGAAACAAGAUGGUGGGGUCAGAGAAUAAUCCGGGUUUACAAAUGGAUGUGG
This 2794-nucleotide long non-coding RNA is filed under the name Cairina moschata (Muscovy duck). Its description in RNAcentral is "domestica (muscovy Duck (domestic type)) lncRNA (ENSCMMG00000007598.1)". Lineage: Eukaryota; Metazoa; Chordata; Aves; Anseriformes; Anatidae. The record is from RNAcentral.